Molecule: long non-coding RNA, 916 nt
Filed under: Medicago truncatula (barrel medic)
Lineage: Eukaryota; Viridiplantae; Streptophyta; Magnoliopsida; Fabales; Fabaceae
Description: long non-coding RNA (MTRU_LNC000054)
Source: RNAcentral
ACAAAAAAAAAGGUUAUACAAUAAAAAUAAAAAUCAAUUUAGGCAACCACAUAAUAAACUAUGAAAACUCUUACCUUAAUCUUCACAUUCUCCAUCAUUGUUGCCUUCUCACAUGCAGCACCAACAUUGGUCACUCUUCCUCAACCUGAUCAAAUGAAUCAAUCUUCUACACUAAUAAGUCAUACCCUUCAACAAGUAUAUCAAUUUUAUCACUUAGCUUCUCGUUAUUUUUUUUUUAUUUUUUUAAGCAUUUAUCCGAACUAGGGAAUACCCUUUAAUUAAAAAUCAUUCAUAAUAACAUAUUUAUUCAGUAUAUAUCUUUUCAUUUUUUUUUUCAACACCAAAAAAAAGCUUUUCAUUAUUGUCCCUUUUGCCCUAAAAAGUUUAGUCACUAGUUUACAAAUCAAUGUGUAUCUUAAAUAAUUUCAUAUUUUAUUGUAUCUUGAAUAAGAGACAAUAUGCAUUUUUCAGAUUAAUGAGACUAGACUGAUUAGUAGUAUGUGCAAAUACCUAAUCACCAUAAAGACAAGCUGCAAUUCUCCAGCAUAUACAACAGAUCAAAUCAGUCUUUUAUUUGGAGAUGAUCUUGGCUCUAAGGUUCUUUUAUGUACUCAUUCACAAUUUUAAAAUACUUGAAUGAUUUUAGUAAAAAUACUUUACUUAACUAGUUAUGUAUUAUUUUCUUCUGACAUGUCCAAAAACAAUUUGUAGCUUAAACUCUCUAGGACAACUUAUAUGAACAAUUAAUAGUUUAUAUGAAUUAUUUUUUUUUUAAUGAAAUUAUGUAAUGUACUGGUUUGAUGUAUAAUUGCAGCUUUAUGUUAAAAGAUUGGAUGACCCUGGUGCAUUCAAGAGGUGCACCACAGUUUCAUUUGAUGUAAUGGGAGAAUGUACCAGCCAGAUAUGUGAACUGUAC